GACGAACGCUGGCGGCGCGCCUAACACAUGCAAGUCGAACGGAGCUGCGAGAAGCUUGCUUUUCUUAGCUUAGUGGCGAACGGGUGAGUAACGCGUGAGUAACCUGCCCUGGAGUGGGGGACAACAGUUGGAAACGACUGCUAAUACCGCAUAAGCCCACGAUCCGGCAUCGGAUUGAGGGAAAAGGAUUUAUUCGCUUCAGGAUGGACUCGCGUCCAAUUAGCUAGUUGGUGAGGUAACGGCCCACCAAGGCGACGAUUGGUAGCCGGACUGAGAGGUUGAACGGCCACAUUAGGACUGAGACACGGCCCAGACUCCUACGGGAGGCAGCAGUGGGGGAUAUUGCACAAUGGGGGAAACCCUGAUGCAGCGACGCCGCGUGGAGGAAGAAGGUUUUCGGAUUGUAAACUCCUGUCGUUAGGGACGAUAAUGACGGUACCUAACAAGAAAGCACCGGCUAACUACGUG
RNAcentral lists this ribosomal RNA (468 nucleotides) under uncultured bacterium. Its description in RNAcentral is "partial 16S ribosomal RNA". It matches the Rfam family "Bacterial small subunit ribosomal RNA", at positions 28 to 507 of the family's 1533-position model. The record is from RNAcentral.